RNAcentral lists this ribosomal RNA (1553 nucleotides) under Staphylococcus aureus. Its description in RNAcentral is "16S ribosomal RNA". It matches the Rfam family "Bacterial small subunit ribosomal RNA". The record is from RNAcentral. Lineage: Bacteria; Bacillati; Bacillota; Bacilli; Caryophanales; Staphylococcaceae.
UUUAUGGAGAGUUUGAUCCUGGCUCAGGAUGAACGCUGGCGGCGUGCCUAAUACAUGCAAGUCGAGCGAACGGACGAGAAGCUUGCUUCUCUGAUGUUAGCGGCGGACGGGUGAGUAACACGUGGAUAACCUACCUAUAAGACUGGGAUAACUUCGGGAAACCGGAGCUAAUACCGGAUAAUAUUUUGAACCGCAUGGUUCAAAAGUGAAAGACGGUCUUGCUGUCACUUAUAGAUGGAUCCGCGCUGCAUUAGCUAGUUGGUAAGGUAACGGCUUACCAAGGCAACGAUGCAUAGCCGACCUGAGAGGGUGAUCGGCCACACUGGAACUGAGACACGGUCCAGACUCCUACGGGAGGCAGCAGUAGGGAAUCUUCCGCAAUGGGCGAAAGCCUGACGGAGCAACGUCGCGUGAGUGAUGAAGGUCUUCGGAUCGUAAAACUCUGUUAUUAGGGAAGAACAUAUGUGUAAGUAACUGUGCACAUCUUGACGGUACCUAAUCAGAAAGCCACGGCUAACUACGUGCCAGCAGCCGCGGUAAUACGUAGGUGGCAAGCGUUAUCCGGAAUUAUUGGGCGUAAAGCGCGCGUAGGCGGUUUUUUAAGUCUGAUGUGAAAGCCCACGGCUCAACCGUGGAGGGUCAUUGGAAACUGGAAAACUUGAGUGCAGAAGAGGAAAGUGGAAUUCCAUGUGUAGCGGUGAAAUGCGCAGAGAUAUGGAGGAACACCAGUGGCGAAGGCGACUUUCUGGUCUGUAACUGACGCUGAUGUGCGAAAGCGUGGGGAUCAAACAGGAUUAGAUACCCUGGUAGUCCACGCCGUAAACGAUGAGUGCUAAGUGUUAGGGGGUUUCCGCCCCUUAGUGCUGCAGCUAACGCAUUAAGCACUCCGCCUGGGGAGUACGACCGCAAGGUUGAAACUCAAAGGAAUUGACGGGACCCGCACAAGCGGUGGAGCAUGUGGUUUAAUUCGAAGCAACGCGAAGAACCUUACCAAAUCUUGACAUCCUUUGACAACUCUAGAGAUAGAGCCUUCCUCUUCGGGGGACAAAGUGACAGGUGGUGCAUGGUUGUCGUCAGCUCGUGUCGUGAGAUGUUGGGUUAAGUCCCGCAACGAGCGCAACCCUUAAGCUUAGUUGCCAUCAUUAAGUUGGGCACUCUAAGUUGACUGCCGGUGACAAACCGGAGGAAGGUGGGGAUGACGUCAAAUCAUCAUGCCCCUUAUGAUUUGGGCUACACACGUGCUACAAUGGACAAUACAAAGGGCAGCGAAACCGCGAGGUCAAGCAAAUCCCAUAAAGUUGUUCUCAGUUCGGAUUGUAGUCUGCAACUCGACUACAUGAAGCUGGAAUCGCUAGUAAUCGUAGAUCAGCAUGCUACGGUGAAUACGUUCCCGGGUCUUGUACACACCGCCCGUCACACCACGAGAGUUUGUAACACCCGAAGCCGGUGGAGUAACCUUUUAGGAGCUAGCCGUCGAAGGUGGGACAAAUGAUUGGGGUGAAGUCGUAACAAGGUAGCCGUAUCGGAAGGUGCGGCUGGAUCACCUCCUUUCU